AAAGGAAACAGAAUUUACCUACUUUGGAUCACAUCCGAAGGCUGCCAUGUACCUCCUAUGGAUGAUUAGGUCCAUGUAGCUCUUAUAAAACUAUAAACAUAUAUACGCUAAACUUAAUUUUAAAUGUUCGCUUGAUUCGAUUAGCUAUAUAACUAUUAAACUUUCACUCUUCAUGUGUCAUCUGAAAGUCUUUUAACAUUCUACCAAAAUUUUGGCAACACCUCGACCAUAAGAUGGCUACUUCCCAGUUAAAAAUAAAAUAGAAUGCAACUUAAUCUCAACAUGCAAUUCAAAAAUAAAAUUUCCUCUCCAGGCCUCCAAAACGUACAUAUAUACAUACAAUCUAAAACUUCUAUAUCACAUUAAAGAAAUAUAAAAUUUAUCCUAUCACCAAACACUAUAAAAUCAUUAAGCUUGAACUCAAAGUGAGUCAUCAAUAAAAUAAAAAUACAACAUCACAGAUAUUUAUACAAGGAAAUUUCAUCCACAAAUUUUCACUCACUCAUCAAGUGUAAGCAAUUAGCUAUACGUGAUUAGGAGUUGAGAUUUGUAGACUUUGAAAACAGAUAAAGCCGAAAUUCAAGAAGAAUGAUAACAUAGAGAAAUUUGUCAACUAUUCACAUAGAUAGGGCUAAAAUAGGGAAUUAAAGGCAAAUCUUCUAUCACGUCUCUGAAUGUUGAGAAAUAGCCAAGUUUAUCAGUAAUGGCCACAGAUGCAUCAUCAGAGCAUAAUUAUAAUCAAUAAAAAAAAUGUAGCAAAGAAACAAAGAAAAAUAUAUUAAAUUAAUAGCAUCAAAAUUUAUUAAAUAACAAAGACACAGAAAGAAGGAAUAACUCAUAUAUUGACAGUUCACCUCAUUCAUCUAUUUUGGAACUCCAAAAAGAUCAACUGCCCACUCUAGUCCUUCAACCAGAAAUUUUAACCAGCAUUCAAUUGCAAAUUUGCUCUUCAUUUACACAUUCUUCAACUAAAGUUUUAUGGUUUCAUCAUCUCUUCUUUGUUUAUUCCUUUGCAUGAAAUUCUACUUUAUAAAUAAAUUUCACUCAAGUACUCG
This 1055-nucleotide unclassified non-coding RNA is filed under the name Hevea brasiliensis (rubber tree). Lineage: Eukaryota; Viridiplantae; Streptophyta; Magnoliopsida; Malpighiales; Euphorbiaceae. The record is from RNAcentral.